AAUCAGAGAUGGAGGCCUUAAUCACAAAUCUUGCUUCGGGAAAACGGCGUACCUACAUUGUCAUCAUUGUGAUCUUUACCAUUUCUGUUUUAUUUAGCGGCAACUUUGAAUGCACUUGCAAAUCACAAGUGUCUGACUGCAGCAUUUACAUGUUUCUGCCUUCUAUAAUAAUAUUUCUCUUAAUGCUGUGGACCAGCAGCUCCUUUCAGAGAGUCUCUAGAUUCACAUGUGUUGGUACAUGUGGCUCUAAAUGCUGCAGGUUUUGCGGUUCGUUUCUCCGUCACUUUUUAAAGGCAUCUUUGGUUAGUGUGCUGUGGGCUGCAUAUCUGUUUUUCAGUGGAGACUGGUAUGUCUGCUGUAUGAGCCAUCUCUCUAACAGAACAGAAGAGGCACAGUUACCCUGCAAAGACAAGUGGAAGCUCACUAUUGAGGAGCGACUACGCAUCACUGAGCUGAACAACGAGUCCAGGAGAGUUGGCUACUUUUUGCUCAUGUUUGUCAAUGGAGCAACAGCACUGAUAUCAUUAAUUAACUGGAGAAAAUGCUGUAAAAAAAUAUCAAGUUGCUUUGACAGAAGAAAAACCUAUUACAAACUGAUUUUGGAGGAGGAGGGCUUGGUGCGGAAAGACCUUUUAAGGAAAAAGGCCAAAGAAAAGCUGACUGAUUUCCUGAAGACAAUGAUUGAGGAAGGACAAUGGGAAAAGUGUUUCAAUGCUGCAGAAGAACUGAUUAAAAGGGAAGAGAACUCACCAUUUGAACUGGAGGAGGUCGGAACAGUACAAUUUCAGCACCGUAAAUCAUCUGACUCAGAACAAAGGCUACUGGAGAUUUGAGAAGGCUGACCAGAUGAAUGCAAAGCAUGUCUUUAUCCUGUCUUCCUUCUCUCACCCCAACUGUCGCAGCAGAUGGCCCCGCCCCUCCC
This is a long non-coding RNA of Astatotilapia calliptera (eastern happy), 922 nucleotides long. NCBI's taxonomy places the organism in Eukaryota, Metazoa, Chordata, Actinopteri, Cichliformes, Cichlidae. The record is from Ensembl.